This 706-nucleotide long non-coding RNA is filed under the name Nicotiana benthamiana. RNAcentral describes it as "long non-coding RNA (NBEN_LNC039206)". The record is from RNAcentral. Lineage: Eukaryota; Viridiplantae; Streptophyta; Magnoliopsida; Solanales; Solanaceae.
CCCUAGUUUUAAUGGAUUUGAAAAAGGCAGAAUAGCCUGGGAGACACUUGUACUUAUUUCGGUUUGUCAUCUCGGUCCAUGUAUUCCAUAAAAUUUCAUCCACAUACUUUAACUUAAUCAAAACAAGAUUUUUAAACUCGUUUGACCGUUGACCGAGCUUAUAUGGCAUAAAUAUAAUUGAGAUGGACAAAAUAUUUGGUAUGCACGCGCCUAAUGAGCGUGAAAUGGUGGUUCAAUUAGAAAAAUAGAAAAAAAUCAAAAAGUGACGGAAACAAAAUGUAUAACAAUUUAUAUCAUCUUCUUACACAGGAGCCUCUUCCAUUUUGGCUCCAGCAUUGUUGCCUUCUUCCAUUCCACAUCCAGAUAAUGUAGAGAUGCAGCAUUGCACAGUGUUGUAAUUCACUUCUGAAAUUCCUACAACUUAUGUGCAGUAAACUACCCUGUAUUUCUCACCAAAGGAUGCCAUGGAAGAAGACCAAAAAUAUGUUCCAGAAAGGGAAGUCUCCAACAUAAAUAAACAUAAGAGGCAAAUAAAUAAAUUACCCUGUCAAUUCUGUGAAAAGGCACAAGCUCCAUCCCACCAAAUCCAAGAAAAGAACAGACGCAAUGUAAGAAUCUCCUAGUCAACUUGGGGGGUUACAUUUUGGGGGAAAACUAGAGUAGAAAGAAAAGGUUAAAGGGAGAAGGAAACUUUGAAGGAUGAAAA